RNAcentral lists this ribosomal RNA (253 nucleotides) under uncultured bacterium. RNAcentral describes it as "partial 16S ribosomal RNA". It matches the Rfam family "Bacterial small subunit ribosomal RNA", at positions 524 to 776 of the family's 1533-position model. The record is from RNAcentral.
UACGUAGGGUGCAAGCGUUAAUCGGAAUUACUGGGCGUAAAGCGUGCGCAGGCGGUUUUGUAAGUCUGUCGUGAAAGCCCCGGGCUCAACCUGGGAAUUGCGAUGGAGACUGCAAGGCUUGAAUCUGGCAGAGGGGGGUAGAAUUCCACGUGUAGCAGUGAAAUGCGUAGAGAUGUGGAGGAACACCGAUGGCGAAGGCAGCCCCCUGGGUCAAGAUUGACGCUCAUGCCCGAAAGCGUGGGGAGCAAACAGG